Molecule: ribosomal RNA, 2878 nt
Filed under: soil metagenome
Description: bacterial LSU rRNA
Rfam family: Bacterial large subunit ribosomal RNA
Source: RNAcentral
AGGGCACACGGAGGAUGCCUAGGCGCCAGGAGCCGAAGAAGGACGUAGCGAACGACGAUACGCCUCGGGGAGCCGUAAGCAGGCUUCGAUCCGGGGAUUUCCGAAUGGGGGAACCCACAUGGUCUAAUCGCCAUGUACCCUGCAGUGAAUUCAUAGCUGCAGCGGAGGCAGACCCAGGGAACUGAAACAUCUAAGUACCUGGAGGAAGAGAAAACAAACAGGAUAUUUUCCUUUGGAAAAAUCCGUAGUGAUUCCGUCAGUAGCGGCGAGCGAACGCGGAUUAGCCCAAACCUGGGAGCUUGCUCCCAGGGGUUGUGGGACGUCUCACAUGGAGUUACAAAGGUGUUCAUUAAUUGAAGAGGUCUGGAAAGGCCCGCCAUAGCAGGUAACAGCCCUGUAGGUGAAAGUCAGCACCCUCCGAGACGGAUCCCGAGUAGUGCGGGGCACGUGAAACCCCGUAUGAAUCCGGCAGGACCAUCUGCCAAGGCUAAAUACUACCUGGCGACCGAUAGUGAAGCAGUACCGUGAGGGAAAGGUGAAAAGCACCCCGGGAGGGGAGUGAAAUAGAACCUGAAACCGUGUGCCUACAAGAAGUCAGAGCACAAUUAAAGUGUGAUGGCGUGCCUUUUGUAGAAUGAACCGGCGAGUUACGUUUGCGUGCAAGGUUAAGGUGGGAAGCCGGAGCCGAAGCGAAAGCGAGUCUGAAUAGGGCGAAGUAAGUACGUAGACGUAGACCCGAAACCGGGUGAUCUACCCCUGUCCAGGGUGAAGGUCAGGUAACACUGACUGGAGGCCCGAACUCACGAGCGUUGAAAAGCUCGGGGAUGAGGUGGGGGUAGCGGAGAAAUUCCAAUCGAACUCGGAAAUAGCUGGUUCUCCCCGAAAUAGCUUUAGGGCUAGCCUUGGGUGCAGAAUUAUGGAGGUAGAGCACUGAUUGGGUGCGGGGCCCGCCAAGGGUUACCAAGUCUAGUCAAACUCCGAAUGCCAUGGAUUUUUGCCCAGGAGUCAGACGGUGAGUGCUAAGAUCCAUCGUCAAGAGGGAAACAGCCCAGACCAUCAGCUAAGGUCCCCAAGUGUGUGUUAAGUGGGAAAGGAUGUGGAGUUGCACAGACAACCAGGAUGUUGGCUUAGAAGCAGCCACCAUUGAAAGAGUGCGUAAUAGCUCACUGGUCGAGUGACUCUGCGCCGAAAAUGUAACGGGGCUAAACACGCCACCGAAGCUAUGGAUGCGCAUUUCUAACGAAAUGCUCGUGGUAGGGGAGCGUUCCAAGCAGCGUUGAAGGUUGACCGGAAGGACAGCUGGAGCGCUUGGAAGUGAGAAUGCCGGUAUAAGUAACGAAAAGACAAGUGAGAAUCUUGUCCGCCGAAAGCCCAAGGUUUCCUGAGGAAGGUUCGUCCGCUCAGGGUAAGUCGGGACCUAAGGCGAGGCCGAAAGGCGUAGUCGAAGGACAACAGGUUGAAAUUCCUGUACCACCGGAAGCCGUUAUGAGCGAUGGGGUGACGCAGGAGGGAAGAGACGCAGGCGGAUGGAAGAGCCUGUCCAAGCAGUAAGGGGGAUGUGUAGGCAAAUCCGCACAUCGGUAACCUUGAGCUGUGACUGGGGAGGGGAACUUAAGUACCCGAAGGUCUUGGACUCACACUGCCAAGAAAAGCCUCUAGCCAGGUGAAGGUGCCCGUACCGUAAACCGACACAGGUAGGCGAGAAGAGAAUUCUAAGGCGCGCGGAAGAACUCUCGUUAAGGAACUCGGCAACAUGACCCCGUAACUUCGGGAGAAGGGGUGCCUCGGUAGGGUGAAUAGCCCGAGGGGGCCGCAGUGAAAAGGCCCAAGCGACUGUUUAGCAAAAACACAGGUCUGUGCGAAGCCGUAAGGCGAAGUAUACGGGCUGACGCCUGCCCGGUGCUGGAAGGUUAAGAGGAGAGGUUAGGGGCAACCCGAAGCUUUGAAUUGAAGCCCCAGUAAACGGCGGCCGUAACUAUAACGGUCCUAAGGUAGCGAAAUUCCUUGUCAGGUAAAUUCUGACCCGCACGAAUGGCGUAACGACUUGGGCGCUGUCUCAACGAGAGAUCCGGUGAAAUUUUACUACCUGUGAAGAUGCAGGUUACCCGCGACUAGACGGAAAGACCCCAUGGAGCUUUACUGUAGCUUGAUAUUGGACUUGAGUACGGUCUGUACAGGAUAGGUGGGAGCCUUGGAAGCCGGUGCGCCAGCAUCGGUGGAGGCGACGUUGGGAUACCACCCUGAGCGUAUUUGAGUUCUAACCUGGUGCCGUGAUCCGGUACGGGGACAGUGUCAGGCGGACAGUUUGACUGGGGCGGUCGCCUCCUAAAGCGUAACGGAGGCGCCCAAAGGUUCCCUCAGAAUGGUUGGAAAUCAUUCGCAGAGUGUAAAGGCAGAAGGGAGCUUGACUGCGAGACGUACAGGUCGAGCAGGGACGAAAGUCGGGCUUAGUGAUCCGGUGGUACCGUAUGGAAGGGCCAUCGCUCAACGGAUAAAAGCUACCCUGGGGAUAACAGGCUUAUCUCCCCCAAGAGUCCACAUCGACGGGGAGGUUUGGCACCUCGAUGUCGGCUCAUCGCAUCCUGGGGCUGAAGUAGGUCCCAAGGGUUGGGCUGUUCGCCCAUUAAAGCGGUACGCGAGCUGGGUUCAGAACGUCGUGAGACAGUUCGGUCCCUAUCUGUCGCGGGCGCAGGAAAUUUGAGAGGAGCUGUCCUUAGUACGAGAGGACCGGGAUGGACGUACCGCUGGUGUACCAGUUGUUCCGCCAGGAGCACCGCUGGGUAGCUAUGUACGGACGGGAUAAACGCUGAAAGCAUCUAAGCGUGAAGCCCCCCUCAAGAUGAGAUUUCCCAUCGCGUAAGCGAGUAAGACCCCUUGU